GUAAGGUCCUAAUUAAGUAACCACCUUUCAUGCUUUCCUAGACACCAAUUAGAUCAAUUAAUCUAAUAUGACUUGCUCAUGUCGGUUCACUCUCGACUUGAUUGAAGAGGUUUCAAUUUAGGUCUCAAUUGGGUUUGCUACAUCACAUGUAAGCCUAUCUACCCGACUCUCAUUCACAUCACAUGCAAACGGCACAUUGCAGGCAGUUAUAAUC
RNAcentral lists this long non-coding RNA (214 nucleotides) under Phoenix dactylifera (date palm). RNAcentral's name for it is "long non-coding RNA (PDAC_LNC014417)". The record is from RNAcentral. Lineage: Eukaryota; Viridiplantae; Streptophyta; Magnoliopsida; Arecales; Arecaceae.